GAAGCGCUGUUCACUCUCUUCUCCACCUUAGAUCCGCGUCCAAACUCGCCAAAUCUCAGGCGAGUGAGCCAAAAUCACUCACACGCACCUUAUCUCACCACGUCAGCAAGAUUCUAACGGCUUCUGACAUUUUCCUUCUCUCGCUGGAUUCGUUUUGGAAUUUCUGAAGAAUGAAUUCCGAAAAUGGGAGCCGUGGAUUGAUUUGAGGAUCAAUCCUCUCCUUCCAUCUGUCAGGGUUCAUUCUAGAAGAGAUUUACUUCCGGAUUUCUUGUGAAAAAUGAAAAAUUCGAGAGAGGGGGCUAUAUAUACCAGGUCUGAUUUGAGGCGAGGGGAGGAUUUUUUUUGGAGGCAGAGGUCACUUGAGAAAAUUAGGGUUCUAGAAAAAGCUUCUCUUCUUCUCUUUUGUUCAUCUGCAUUUUUUUUGUUUAAUUCCAGUCACAAUAGAAAAAUAUAUACAAAAAAAAAAAAUGUUUCGUUUGAUAUUAGCAACUCUGUUCUCUUCACCUUUUAAUUCAGAAAUUUCAUCUUUAUUAUGAGUUUGACUGAGGUUCGAGAUUAGGUGUUAGUCGCCGAUUGGAGAUUCUGUCCGAGCUUGUUGUUUUGGUUCGAGUUUCUGUUCUAGCUGUGGUAUCGAUUUUGUUCGUGUAUUUGCUGAAUAUUUUUGAGGAAUUGAAACUCCAAUCUUCAGGUGCAGUUCUUUCUUUCUUCUCAUGUCUCUCUGUAUGUGUGGAUCCAAGUAUGGUUGAAUCUUAAGAUAUGGAGAUUAAAAUUACAUGUCAUACCUAAGUAAAUGUCAGUAAUUGCAGGCUCGAGUUGUUGUCAUUUUCUGCAUUUUUGUUUAUUUCCUUUAUAAAUCAGUGUGUUUGAGUUCAUCAUGUGUUUGGAACAUCCUGCAAGGUCGGAUUUGCUUUAUCUUGGUGUGAAUGAUUGAGGUUUGAAUCGAGUAUGUGGUUGUUAGAUGAGGUGCAGUGUCUGUUUGUCAAUUCAGUGGCAUUUACAGAACUUCUCACACGUCUCGAAUGCAAUACGAGUUUAUGAAAUUAGUGACCAUUCAUUUUUCUGCUGUUGUGUUGCUUAGUCAGGGGUGUUUAUCAGGACUUGCUACGAAUGUUGGAAGAUAAGCGAUUCAAUGCUUGUUUUAAAGCAGUAGUUGGUCUAAAUUUCGGCUGUCCAGGUGGAAUUGAUUUAAAUUUCAGCAAUAGCUUGUUAAAGUUUGGUUUACUUUGUCAUGUUUGGCAUGUAUUUCGUUCGGCGUCGAUCUCAGCUAGCUUAAGUUCGUGGUUGGCUAAAUCCACUCGUUAGGAGAAAUCACAAGUCCUGCCAUCAUAUUUUUUGCAUAAAUGCUUAUAAUUCUCCAUUGUGAAUCAUGAAUAGAAUAAGUUAUCGUCUCUUCUUCUCCUUCUGAUUUUUCUCACUUCUCUUUUUGAUACUUUGAGAAGCAGCAUUCUUAUUGGACUUGGAUAACUAACAACCUUGCUUUGGAUCUCGAUGUUAGUUGGAUUUAAUAAAG
RNAcentral lists this long non-coding RNA (1510 nucleotides) under Nicotiana tabacum (common tobacco). RNAcentral describes it as "long non-coding RNA (NTAB_LNC012758)". Lineage: Eukaryota; Viridiplantae; Streptophyta; Magnoliopsida; Solanales; Solanaceae. The record is from RNAcentral.